GGCUCCUACGGGGCGCAGCAGUGAGGGAUAUUGGGCAAUGGGGGAAACCCUGACCCAGCGACGCCGCGUGAGGGAAGACGGUCUUCGGAUUGUAAACCUCUGUCUUUGGGGACGAAAAAGGACGGUACCCAAGGAGGAAGCUCCGGCUAACUACGUGCCAGCAACCGCGGUAAUACGUAGGGAGCGAGCGUUGUCCGGAAUUACUGGGUGUAAAGGGAGCGUAGGCGGGAUUGCAAGUCAGAUGUGAAAACUCAGGGCUCAACCCUGAGCCUGCCUUUGAAACUGUGUUUCUUGAGUGCUGGAGA
RNAcentral lists this ribosomal RNA (305 nucleotides) under uncultured bacterium. RNAcentral describes it as "bacterial SSU rRNA". It matches the Rfam family "Bacterial small subunit ribosomal RNA", at positions 334 to 655 of the family's 1533-position model. The record is from RNAcentral.